Molecule: long non-coding RNA, 248 nt
Filed under: Elaeis guineensis (African oil palm)
Lineage: Eukaryota; Viridiplantae; Streptophyta; Magnoliopsida; Arecales; Arecaceae
Description: long non-coding RNA (EGUI_LNC027095)
Source: RNAcentral
CGCAAUGCAGCAAACGGCCUUUUCCACAAACCAACACCCGAUACGCAACCCAGCGGACAUGCCAAGCUCAAGUAGGUCCAACCCCACGUUGAUUGAUAUUCCCAUUACGAGAGCUACUGGCUUGGAUUUAUUAUUAUUAUUUUAUUUUUUAUUUUUUAUUUUCGAAGUAUUCCUUCUCUCACCUUAUUUUCGAAACUACGGCCCAUGUUGAAAUAGUCGGUUCAACCGGCGAUCGCACGGCCAUAUUG